GUAUCCCUACUGCGAGUGACCUGUAGACACAUCUCAUUUUGGUUAAUUUUGCCAAAACCAGGAACACAUCUGCUUCAGCUAAUUCAAGGAUCCUGAACCCAUCAUGUCCCCUUGAGCACUCAUGAACUGGAGAAGUGUAAGAGGAGCUGGAGCAUACAGACAUGUACAGAGGUGCCAUGGGCAGCAGGAUGUGGUCUCUGGGAUCAUCUGGCUGUUACACCUCAGAAACCACCAAACACCAGGCUCCUAGGACAAUAUCUUUUUCUUACUGCUUUGAAUACAUUAUCAUUAUCUCAAACAACACAUUGGCUUCAUCUUUGAAGUUUCAGUCAGCUCCUGCAGUGAUAUCAGCAGCACACAAGUGCUUUUAAUAAUCUUUGGGAAAAUGUAAUGAGAAUGAUUUCUCUUCAAUUCCACUUGGCUCAGUGCUAGAGCACAACAAUGGGAUGUCGUCAGAAUAAAAGUUUGAAACACAC
Molecule: long non-coding RNA, 476 nt
Filed under: Anas platyrhynchos platyrhynchos (common mallard)
Lineage: Eukaryota; Metazoa; Chordata; Aves; Anseriformes; Anatidae
Description: lncRNA (ENSAPLG00000021519.1)
Source: RNAcentral